UGGGGAAUUUUGGACAAUGGGCGAGAGCCUGAUCCAGCAAUGCCGCGUGUGUGAAGAAGGCCUUCGGGUUGUAAAGCACUUUUGUCCGGAAAGAAAUGGCUCUGGUUAAUACCUGGGGUCGAUGACGGUACCGGAAGAAUAAGGACCGGCUAACUACGUGCCAGCAGCCGCGGUAAUACGUAGGGUCCAAGCGUUAAUCGGAAUUACUGGGCGUAAAGCGUGCGCAGGCGGUUGUGCAAGACCGAUGUGAAAUCCCCGAGCUUAACUUGGGAAUUGCAUUGGUGACUGCACGGCUAGAGUGUGUCAGAGGGGGGUAGAAUUCCACGUGUAGCAGUGAAAUGCGUAGAGAUGUGGAGGAAUACCGAUGGCGAAGGCAGCCCCCUGGGAUAACACUGACGCUCAUGCACGAAAGCGUGGGGAGCAAACAGG
Molecule: ribosomal RNA, 429 nt
Filed under: Bacillota bacterium
Lineage: Bacteria; Bacillati; Bacillota
Description: Firmicutes bacterium partial 16S ribosomal RNA
Rfam family: Bacterial small subunit ribosomal RNA
Source: RNAcentral